This 430-nucleotide ribosomal RNA is filed under the name uncultured bacterium. Its description in RNAcentral is "bacterial SSU rRNA". It matches the Rfam family "Archaeal small subunit ribosomal RNA", at positions 339 to 776 of the family's 1478-position model. The record is from RNAcentral.
GCGAGAAAACUUUGCAAUGUGCGAAAGCACGACAAGGUUAAUCCGAGUGGUUUCUGCUAAAGAAACCUUUUGUCAGUCCUAGAAACACUAACGAAUAAGGGGUGGGCAAGUUCUGGUGUCAGCCGCCUCGGUAAAACCAGCACCUCAAGUGGUCAGGAUGAUUAUUGGGCCUAAAGCAUCCGUAGCUCGUUUUGUAAGUUUUCGGUUAAAUCCAUGCGCUUAACGUAUGGGCUGCCGGGAAUACUGCAUAACUAGGAAGUGGGAGAGGUAGACGGUACUCGGUAGGAAGGGGUAAAAUCCUUUGAUCUAUUGAUAACCACCUGUGGCGAAGGCGGUCUACCAGAACACGUUCGACGGUGAGGGAUGAAAGCUGGGGGAGCAAACCGGAUUAGAUACCCCCGUAGUCCCUGAGCGGGCUGGCAAGGCGCAU